Gossypium arboreum is the source of this 421-nucleotide long non-coding RNA. RefSeq lists it as uncharacterized. The transcript is spliced from 2 exons. Lineage: Eukaryota; Viridiplantae; Streptophyta; Magnoliopsida; Malvales; Malvaceae. The record is from RefSeq and is a predicted model, not a curated record.
GGGCUCUCAUUUCUGCAAAUGGAAGUAACCCAAACGACACUCUUCGUUAGACUUCCGGAAUCGUUUGCUUAGCUUAGCUUAGCUUCACCGCCGGUCCACCGUCGCGGCUAAUUUGCUGUCACCGGCAUGCCACAUCAUGACUAAUCAGUUACGGCAGCAUUUCUCUUUCAUUUCUGGUGAAAGAAAAUGUCUUUGUACCUUUCAAUUGAACGCGACAAGCUGAAGAGUUGUCUUGCUACUACAUGUGGGAUGAAACAAUGUAAAUAUUCCUCUUAUAAUUUCAUCUCAUCAAUAGCAGCUCACAUCAAUUCACAUUACACAUUCUGUAAAACAGUUGAUUUUAAUAGUUAAUUUGUGUAAAUGUUAUUAAUCCGUGUUAUACUUUUAAUCCCUUAACGAAGAUGACAUUUUACUUACCUUA